AGGGGCCCCGGAGCCAAAGGGGCCCCGGAGCCAAAGGGGCCCCGGCCCUCCCAGGGGCUGCUGUCGCCUCGGCCGGAGCCGUGGCGCAGAGAGCGGUGUCCCGUCAGUGCCGGCGAGGGACGGAACCGGGCAGGGGGAAGGCCCGGUGGGUGCAGUUAUGGCUGGUCAGCCUGAAGAAGGUCGUGGGGAGACCUCGCAGCACCUUCCAGUUAUCUGAAGGGGCCUACAGGGAACCCAGAGAGGGACUCUUCAUCAGGAACUGCAGGUGUGCCAGAUGCUGUCAUUCAAGGGUUUAUGGCUGUCAUUCCUGCGGCUCAACAGAAAAUCAGGGGACAGGAGAUGGACUGCAAUGAUUGUCCUGAUUCAGGAUAAAGUGUUGGUGGAUCUUGACCUCAACAUAUGCCAGUUUUUGACUUCAUUUAGAUUAAAUAUUUGGAAAAAAUCCUCUGCUUUGAAGGUGAUGAGGCACUGGAACAGGCUGUCCAGAGAAACUGUGGAUGCCCCAUCCUUGGAAGUGUUCAAGGUCAGGUUGUGUGGCGCUCUGAACAAUCUGGUCUAAUGUAAGGUGAUCCUGCUUGUGGCAUGGGUGGUUAGAACUAGAUGAUCUUCAAGGUCCCCUACAAACACAAACCACUCUAUGAUUCUAUGCCACUCUUGCAUGGAACCUCAGUCACGUAUCACGGCCAGGGAAUGAACAUGUGCCUUUGUGAAGCUUUGAGAGCCAAAUGUAGGAGAACCAGCCUAACAGUGGUUCCUCACCUGCUGCCACUCACAUGGCCCCUGGCCAUCUCACACAGAUGUUUUUCUAGUCAGAUGUUCCGAAAGAAAUGCCCUGUCAUGCAUGAGGUUUUGUAGUCUCUUAGUUCUCAUACUCAGUUUCCAUCCUUAGGGUUUAUUUAAAGCUUCUUUGGUGCGAAUGAAAUUGAUUUUUGUCUUGUCCUUAGUGGACACAAAUAGCCAUAAUUUGCAGGGAUCUGUUAACAGAUGCUCCCCUCAUGCAGCGUGCAGUGGAUGCAGGGUCUGCCUGGGUUGGUACCGGCUCAUGGACAGUUAUAUUUAACCUCUUGCAUGCCUCUUUCACACCAACUUUGACUUCCUUGUCUCAGGUGCCGAAUUUAUUUUUCAAUUUUGAUUUAAAUCCUGAUUUACCUUCUUUUCAAGCUGUUUAUACUUAUCAGGUGCAGAUUUUUUGUUUUCUGUUUCUUUAAUGCAUCUCUCUGUAGUUGUAUUUUGGAGAUCAGUGAUCUCUCAGAGCCCUUAAGCUCUUCCCACCAGUUUUUUUUUUUGUAGCUUCUGCCUGCUUUUGUUCCCAACCACCCACCUCAGCAAUCCUCCACUGCUGGGCCCCUCUCACUGCCAUCACAUUGACAUAGCUUCACUAGUCUGUGUGACAUGAAUGACAGUGUCCAUUUCUGUCCAGAUAAAUAUCUAAUACUUUGUGAAGGUUUUUAUCUAGUGAAUUUUUAUAAGAUUUAUUGCUAAUGGAUAGCAAAUAAAAAUGGCAGUAGUUGUUUUUUUUCAACUCCAGUUCUGCAAUCUUCCUGGCUUCUAAUCCCUUGGUCUUUCUGAAACCAUGUGCACGGUCUUUUUUGUCACAAAUGCAGAAUGUAUGUGGUUUACAUAUAUAUGUAUACUCUUAAUUAAAUAUUCUACUGCGUAUUUUUAAUGACUUCAUUCACCGUGAUUAUUCUUUCUGUUUUUAAGUAAUAACUUGAAUUUAAAAAACCCCAAAUCAAUAAAGCUCAAGCUUUAAGAAACCUAAUCUGAAGUGAUAGUUUAAGAUAAUUCAAAAAUGGUUUAAAGAACCGUUUCUUUGUUGUCAAAAAGUUUUAAAUCAGUAUUUCUUGAAAAAUGUGGUUGUCAUUUCAAUGGAACCACAGUAAAACAACAUUCUGAGAUUUCAGUGUUCUUGGUAAUAUUACUCUGUUGGCCUUGUGUCAGACCAGAGAGGCAGGGAUUGCUGUCAGUGGUGUCUGAUCAUCCCUACCUCACCUGGAAAGUGACACAAACAGUGGUUAUGAUGUUUUGUCAGAAAUGAUACCCAGCAUGUCUUUUAUCUUAGGCAAUAGCUGAAAUGUUCUGAGAGUUGCUGACUAGCUGGUAGUUAGGGGUAGAAGGAGAGGUGGGGCUCUGGACUUCCUAAAAUACCCCUCUCUCCACAGGAUCCCAAGCCUUAAAAUGAUCCCAAAUUUUGAGCAUCCUCUUCAGUUUCCUGAUUGUCUUUAACUAGCUUCUCUUUGGGGCUAGAGUGGGUUGCCUCAGUCUGAGGCCUGGCUGGAAGUGGCUGAUGCAGCUGAGGCAUUUUGCGCUGUGUAAGCUCAGCUAAAGUUGCAGAGUAAAUGUUUUCUUCCAAUUAAAGUGUAUUUUCAGUUUAUUUUUACCGCAAUAAGAGAAAGGGUUGCCCUUUGAAGUCAUCAGAGCCCAUCCCUGCUCAGUGAAACUUCCAAUGCAGUCUCCAUAAAGAAGUGGAGGAAAUAAAAUGUUGGCUCCACCUGUGGAGGGGAACUAUGUUAGAGACACACUGGCUGUCAGUACAGAACUGUUUCUUCUUGGGAGCUCUUGGUGAGAGUGGUUUUUAUUAAAAGUGAUGCACAUCCCCACACACUGCUCAUUUCCUGCUUCAGUAGAUGAAUUGUUCUGCAAUGGAUUUAAUUGCAUUGCUUCCUCCUAGCUUCUUGCUGCUAUCCUACAGUCAGCUGGCUCACAGCUGAAGAAUCCUUUAUUCUUAUUAUGUGUGUGUCACUGUUCCACAGUCAGCUGCAGAGGAUGCACACAGAGUGCAUCUCCAGAAAUACUUGUAUUGUAAAUGCAUGAAAUUUGGUAUAAAGCUCAUGGACUGGUGCACUCUGCAUUUCCAUAUGGUUAUCUUCUAAGGUUCUGUACCUAAUAGCUCUCUUGUGAGAAAAGCAGCUUGUAUUCCCUUAAUUCCCAGAGCCACAACUGAUGCUAUUUUUGAGAUGUGUUGCACAGUUAUUACUUGCAUAAGUAAUACGCAUCUGUCUUUGCAGCUUUUGGCUCUUACUCUUAAUCAUUCAAACUUAUAGUAGAGCCAAGAAUUCACCCUGGAUUUUGUGAGGCCUUUGGGUUUUGGCCCUCUUGAGGGACAUGGGUAGGUAAAGUAAUGGCACAGAUGACAUAAACUGACCACGAGUACUUGGUUCUUUCAAGGCAUGUUAAAGCUGUCUCUUGAGCCAGACAAUUGCUUGUAAAGAAACUGACUAUCAUUGUGUCCAUGUUUUGGUUUCCAUUCUCACCAGCCUCCCUGAGGAUUACAGUAGCAUGCCUUCUGUGAGGGUGCCGAGGCACUGGAACAGAUUGCCCAGAGAAGUUGGGAAUGCUCCAUCACUGGAAGUGUUGGAGGCUGGGUGGGAUGGAGCUCUGAGCAUCUUGGUCUAGUGAAAGGUGUCCCUGUGCAUGGAAGGGGGAUUGGAAGAACAUGGUCGUUAGGUCCCUUCCAACCCAAACCAGUCUGUGAUUCCAUGAUCUUGGCAUGCUUGGUGGAGGAAGUUGAUAUUACUGUAACAAUGAACAAAAUAGUUUAAUGCUAUUAAUGUAACAAAGACACUCUGGAAUUUCCUGGUAACAAUGAAGAGUGGAUAUUAAGUGGCACCUAAGUAACACUAAUUAACAGAAUCAUUCUCAAAAAUUAGUCCCUCCUCUUUAGCACCACUAUUUGUAGUGAUAAGGCAUUACUCUACAAAGAACCCAUGCACAGUAUGGCUGUAGCAAUUAAGACAAAUUCUAUUUUCGAUUUUUUUCAAAGCUUAAUGAUGGUACCUUAUAUUUACAAAUGAAAACAUUCAGCUUACUACAUGGUGUCCAACUAAUCUGGCACAGUACCGAACAUACCCUGAAAAUGUCCAUCAGCAGUCUCAAGGAUCUGCUACAUAAACCCUAAGAUGUAAUGAGACAGAACGGAAUUAGUUUAAGUAAUAAAUGUUUAAUCAAAGAAUUUUACAUAUUAUUAACAGCAUUCAUUUGGCCAAACAUCUACAUGGUUGUAGUAUCCUACUUGUAUAUAAAGUGGGAAUGUAUCAAGUAUAGACUAUGAAAGUGCAAAUAACAAUUCAAGGUUAGAGUAAUUUUUUUUACAUUAUAAAAUUAACAGGUUUACAAAAUAGUCUUGCCAAACUUUUAUUUUUGAAUUGUAAAGUCAAUGACUAUGGUGUUAAAAUAAGUACCAAGAAAAUACAAAUUUAAUAGUCUAAUUUCAUGCUCAUAAGAGUAACACGGAAACAAUGGAUAUACUGCACAACCUAACCAAAUUACAUAAAACCAGAACCCACAAACUUCACUAUCUUCACA
This is a non-coding RNA of Cyanistes caeruleus (blue tit), 4305 nucleotides long. The record is from RefSeq and is a predicted model, not a curated record. NCBI's taxonomy places the organism in Eukaryota, Metazoa, Chordata, Aves, Passeriformes, Paridae.